CCUACGGGAGGCAGCAGUGGGGAAUCUUGCGCAAUGGGCGAAAGCCUGACGCAGCAACGCCGCGUGAGCGAAGACGGCCUUCGGGUUGUAAAGCUCUGUCAGGAGGGACGAAGCCACUCAGGUGAAUAGCCAAGAGGGUGACGGUACCUCCAGAGGAAGCCCCGGCUAACUACGUGCCAGCAGCCGCGGUAAU
RNAcentral lists this ribosomal RNA (193 nucleotides) under uncultured Actinomycetes bacterium. RNAcentral describes it as "uncultured actinobacterium partial 16S ribosomal RNA". It matches the Rfam family "Bacterial small subunit ribosomal RNA", at positions 338 to 524 of the family's 1533-position model. The record is from RNAcentral. Lineage: Bacteria; Bacillati; Actinomycetota; Actinomycetes.